UCCUUUGGGUUAAUACCUCGGAGGGAUGACGGUACCUGAAGAAUAAGCACCGGCUAACUACGUGCCAGCAGCCGCGGUAAUACGUAGGUGCAAGCGUUAAUCGGAAUUACUGGGCGUAAAGCGUGCGCAGGCGGUGAUGUAAGACAGAGGUGAAAUCCCCGGGCUCAACCUGGGAACUGCCUUUGUGACUGCAUCGCUGGAGUACGGCAGAGGGGGUGGAAUUCCUGGUGUAGCAGUGAAAAUGCGUAGAGAUCAGGAGGAACACCGAUGGCGAAGGCAGCCCCCUGGGCCUGUACUGACGCUCAUGCACGAAAAGCGUGGGGAGCAAACAGGAUUAGAUACCCUGGUAGUCCACGCCCUAAACGAUGUCGACUAGUCGUUCGGAGCAGCAAUGCACUGAGUGACGCAGCUAACGCGUGAAGUCGACCGCCUGGGGAGUACGGCCGCAAGGUUAAAACUCAAAGGAAUUGACGGGGGC
RNAcentral lists this ribosomal RNA (478 nucleotides) under uncultured bacterium. Its description in RNAcentral is "bacterial SSU rRNA". It matches the Rfam family "Bacterial small subunit ribosomal RNA", at positions 452 to 920 of the family's 1533-position model. The record is from RNAcentral.